GUGAUGAUGGUCACAUGACUGAAUAUGGACACAGAGAUGGACGUUCAUCUGCACAUCCUCAGUGUCUCAGGAGUCACAAUAAACACACUAAAUAAAGUCAUGAUUGUGUAACUCUAGUGUAUAUGAGUGUGUUGUCAGCACAAGCUGUUGUAAAUCCUGCCCACUUCUUUGCAUUGUCAGCACAUGCUUCAGUGCUCUGAGAGUGUUUAUAGUGCUGUGAGUUUAACACUUCAUGACUGAGAGCAGAACACACACACUCUUCAUCAUCACACAAGACUAAACUACAACUAUGAACAACAUCUGCAUCUUCAUCUGGACCAUUGCACUGUUUGCUCAAGAAUCCAGAGGAGUGACUCUGACUCAACCUGAAGUUGAAACUGUCCAACUGAGUCAAACAGCAACAAUAGAGUGUCAUAUAGAUGUAGGAAUAUAUGACGAUCGUUUAGCCUGGUAUCAGCAGAAACCUGGAGAAGCUCCUAAACUCCUGAUUUAUUGGAUAAACAGCCGUUAUUCUGGAACUCCAUCUAGAUUCAGUGGCAGUGGAACAAGACAUACUGGACGAGAUUUUACUCUGAUUAUCAGUGGAGUCCAGACUGAAGAUACAGGAGAUUAUUACUGUCAGAGUUAUCACAGUGGUGGUGUGUUCACACAGUGAUAAAGAGUCGUACAAAAACCUCUGUCAGUCAGACGUCACAGUGACUGCACUGAUACAGCUGAGAGAAACUGCAGCUGCUGAUGGAGGAUCACACACACUACACAAUAUCAAUGUCUAGUUCAAAGUUUCUAAAGACUUUAAAGGUAAAUGCAAUAUAAGAUGUUUAUUUAAUGCUAAAAUAUAUUAACCCAGUUCAUUGUUCAUUGACUAAUAUUAGUUUGUCAUUCAUGUGUGUAUCCCUCUCGAAUGCAGGACCGACAUGCAGAUUUUAGACAGAUCUUUCAUAUGAAUUACAAUUUACAAUAAUAUAGCAUGAAAAUUGAACAACGUUAACAUAUACAUAAGGUAAAUAAAUGGUGAAAUAAAUAAUAACCAACAACAAAAAUCACAAUAAUUAAACUAAUGACAAAAGGUGCACAAACUCUAUUACAUGUUAUAUUUCAGCACUACAGAGAAAAAUGGUUAUUCACGUUUAUUUGUGCAAAAAUGUGAGAAACGGUUAAUUUGAAAACUGCACUCGCCUAGAGCUCUUUAUCUCAAGUCAUCAAUGACAGAAUCAAAAGCCAAGUUUGAGACUCAUGAUGGCGGAUGCUGAUCUCUGCUGGUCCACUUAGACUCUCUCGGCUCAUGGUAGACCUCAUGUGUGUGUUAAUCUCCUCUCCGCAGCCGCUGCAGUCACUGAUACUCUC
Molecule: non-coding RNA, 1344 nt
Organism: Pimephales promelas (fathead minnow)
Lineage: Eukaryota; Metazoa; Chordata; Actinopteri; Cypriniformes; Leuciscidae
Source: the annotation of a RefSeq genome assembly